GGGUGGCCUAUCGAAGAAGCUAUCGCUUGAAGAGGGGUUUGCGUCCGAUUAGGUAGUUGGUGAGGUAACGGCCCACCAAGCCGACGAUCGGUAGCCGGUCUGAGAGGAUGAACGGCCACACUGGAACUGAGACACGGUCCAGACUCCUACGGGGAGGCAGCAGUGUGGAAUCUUCCGCAAUGGACGAAAGUCUGACGGAGCAACGCCGCGUGAGUGAAGACGGCCUUCGGGUUGUAAAGCUCUGUGAUUCGGGACGAAAGGCCAUAUGUGAAUAAUAUAUGGAAAUGACGGUACCGAAAAAGCAAGCCACGGCUAACUACGUGCCAGCAGCCGCGGUAAU
This 340-nucleotide ribosomal RNA is filed under the name uncultured Dialister sp. RNAcentral's name for it is "bacterial SSU rRNA". It matches the Rfam family "Bacterial small subunit ribosomal RNA", at positions 191 to 524 of the family's 1533-position model. The record is from RNAcentral. Lineage: Bacteria; Bacillati; Bacillota; Negativicutes; Veillonellales; Veillonellaceae.